This 114-nucleotide ribosomal RNA is filed under the name Salvator merianae (Argentine black and white tegu). Lineage: Eukaryota; Metazoa; Chordata; Lepidosauria; Squamata; Teiidae. The record is from RNAcentral.
CUCAGCAUUUAAGCUGCCCCUGUCCAAUGAUGGCUGAUCUUGGAAAUUAAGUAGGGUCAGGACUUGGUUAGUACUUGGAUGGGAGACCACCUAGAAAUUCAUGGCAAUGUCAGC